RNAcentral lists this long non-coding RNA (1116 nucleotides) under Anser cygnoides (Swan goose). RNAcentral describes it as "lncRNA (ENSACDG00005018838.1)". The record is from RNAcentral. Lineage: Eukaryota; Metazoa; Chordata; Aves; Anseriformes; Anatidae.
AUGCAGUGGGCUGAGGCACCACCAGGCAGCUCCCGGAGUGCCUUUCCACUCAUUCAAACUCCAGGAAAUGAAAAAAGCCCUUCCCCCCACUGGAAACGAGUAUGCUUUGCAAUAAGCCUCCUCAGGCAUGUCUUUGUUAUGUGGCAGCCCACAGGCAUAGGAGCUGCACUUGUUAGACUAGGUGGCCACAGGAGACGGGUACAGAGACAUCCUCUCAAAAAGGCAACUCAACAAAGAGAAGAAAAAACAAAUCUUACCUGGCAGCAGAAAUCUCCACAGAUGGUGCCUACCCUUUUUUCUAGUUCUUUUCUAGAUGCUUGGAGAAAAUGAACAUAAGAUCCCCCCUAAAACUAACUCAGUGAGUCCAUCUGGCAGAGGAGAAAGUGUCAUCCAGGUAGGAAUUUAUCAGUCUCACAGGCCUCUCACACAAUAGAUAUUGCAUAGGAAGGUGAUGCAGUAGAUCACCUACUUUGAUUUAUUAACGAGAACUGAGACAUGGGAAACAAAUCACUACCAAUUCUGAUGCAGCACAUGACACCUCUUAUCGCAAUCCCCACUCUGAUUUCUCUUUUCACUGCCUACCACAGUAAAGCACUGCCGAAGCACAAUGUCACAAAACUCCCUGAAAGCUCACUAGACAAUUAAUCAAAGAAAGAUUUUGCUUUCCCAUAGUCCCAAAAGAAAUUGCUUACUUAUAUAUGCUUAUUCUAUAAUUGAAACAAAGCCUUGAAAGCAGAUAUAGGACAAAGGAUCAGACUAAAUGCUGUUCCUCAAAGUCUGCUUCCAUUUUCUUUGCAUUCCUACCUUGUGUUUAUUACAGGAAAUUAGAAGCCAGACCACCUUCAUUUCUAAAGUACAGGGUUCAAUGAAUUACAUUUACAAAGCCUAGUCUAGCCACAGUGAAUAGCUGGGACAAGAGUAAUCUUAAUUGAUAGACAUGUCAAUAGGCUAAUCACACAGCAGGUUUGUGGGUCAGUCUUUAACCAUCCAGCAGCAGAUCUCUAAGGUGAAGCUCCACAGAAUUGGCUGCUGCUUCUUCGAGCACAUUUCAUGAAAAAAUGUUAACCUUGUAAGGUCUCAACCCUCCCCCCAAAAUAAAAAACAACAACAACAACA